GGCGUUAAGUUGCAGGGUAUAGACCCGAAACCCGGUGAUCUAGCCAUGGGCAGGUUGAAGGUUGGGUAACACUAACUGGAGGACCGAACCGACUAAUGUUGAAAAAUUAGCGGAUGACCUGUGGCUGGGGGUGAAAGGCCAAUCAAACCGGGAGAUAGCUGGUUCUCCCCGAAAGCUAUUUAGGUAGCGCCUCGUGAAUUCAUCUCCGGGGGUAGAGCACUGUUUCGGCUAGGGGGCCAUCCCGGCUUACCAACCCGAUGCAAACUGCGAAUACCGGAGAAUGUUAUCACGGGAGACACACGGCGGGUGCUAACGUCCGUCGUGAAGAGGGAAACAACCCAGACCGCCAGCUAAGGUCCCAAAGUCAUGGUUAAGUGGGAAACGAUGUGGGAAGGCCCAGACAGCCAGGAUGUUGGCUUAGAAGCAGCCAUCAUUUAAAGAAAGCGUAAUAGCUCACUGGUCGAGUCGGCCUGCGCGGAAGAUGUAACGGGGCUAAACCAUGCACCGAAGCUGCGGCAGCGAACGUAUCACCCAAGACAACUUUACGGAGUUGACGAUUGACGGAGCGAAGCGACGUCAAAGCGUUCAUUAAAGUCGAGUUGGCUUAGGGAUACGUUCGUUGGGUAGGGGAGCGUUCUGUAAGCCUGUGAAGGUGUGUCGUGAGGCAUGCUGGAGGUAUCAGAAGUGCGAAUGCUGACAUAAGUAACGAUAAAGCGGGUGAAAAGCCCGCUCGCCGGAAGACCAAGGGUUCCUGUCCAACGUUAAUCGGGGCAGGGUGAGUCGACCCCUAAGGCGAGGCCGAAAGGCGUAGUCGAUGGGAAACGGGUUAAUAUUCCCGUACUUGGUGUUACUGCGAAGGGGGGACGGAGAAGGCUAUGUUGGCCGGGCGACGGUUGUCCCGGUUUAAGCGUGUAGGUGUGUGUUCCAGGUAAAUCCGGUU
Molecule: ribosomal RNA, 940 nt
Filed under: Salmonella enterica
Lineage: Bacteria; Pseudomonadati; Pseudomonadota; Gammaproteobacteria; Enterobacterales; Enterobacteriaceae
Also listed under: 1 other name
Description: partial 23S ribosomal RNA
Rfam family: Bacterial large subunit ribosomal RNA
Source: RNAcentral